Carcharodon carcharias (great white shark) is the source of this 109-nucleotide small nucleolar RNA. RefSeq annotates it as small nucleolar RNA SNORD124. Lineage: Eukaryota; Metazoa; Chordata; Chondrichthyes; Lamniformes; Lamnidae. The record is from RefSeq and is a predicted model, not a curated record. The transcript has a single exon.
GUAGUCAGAGGAAGGAAUGAUGUUUGUAAAAGUCCCAAGAAAAGGAUUCUGAUUAAACCUUCUUUGCAAUGAUUGAACUUUAGCUAUUACUGACCUUCCUCUCACCCUC